RNAcentral lists this ribosomal RNA (403 nucleotides) under uncultured bacterium. Its description in RNAcentral is "bacterial SSU rRNA". It matches the Rfam family "Bacterial small subunit ribosomal RNA", at positions 32 to 417 of the family's 1533-position model. The record is from RNAcentral.
AAUCAACGCUGGCGGCGUGCCUAACACAUGCAAGUCGAACGCGAAAGCCCCUUCGGGGGUAAGUAGAGUGGCGUCCGGGUGAGUAACACGUAGGUAAUCUACCUUCGGGUGGGGAAUAACCAGUCGAAAGAUUGGCUAAUACCGCAUAAUGCAGCGGCACCUAAUGGUGAUUAGUUGUUAAAGCGGGGGAUCGUAAGACCUCGCGCCUGAAGAGGAGCCUGCGGCAGAUUAGCUAGUUGGGAGGUAAUGGCUCACCAAGGCUUCGAUCUGUAGCUGGUCUGAGAGGACGGCCAGCCACACUGGCACUGACACACGGGCCAGACUCCUACGGAGGCAGCAGUGGGGAAUUUUGGGCAAUGGGCGAAAGCCUGACCCAGCAACGCCGCGUGAGGGAUGACGGCCU